GACGUAGGGUCCAAGCGUUGUCCGGAUUUACUGGGCGUAAAGAGCGCGUAGGCGGUCUGUUAAGUGUAGAGUGAAAUCUCCAGGGCUCAACCCGGAAUCUGCUCUGCAUACUGGCAGACUGGAGUGAUGCAGAGGUUUGUGGAAUUCCUGGUGUAACGGUGAAAUGUGUUGAUAUCAGGAGGAACACCCAUGGCGAAGGCAGCAAACUGGGCAUUAACUGACGCUGAGGCGCGAAAGCGUGGGUAGCAAACAGG
This 254-nucleotide ribosomal RNA is filed under the name uncultured bacterium. RNAcentral's name for it is "partial 16S ribosomal RNA". It matches the Rfam family "Bacterial small subunit ribosomal RNA", at positions 524 to 776 of the family's 1533-position model. The record is from RNAcentral.